This 264-nucleotide long non-coding RNA is filed under the name Monodelphis domestica (gray short-tailed opossum). Its description in RNAcentral is "lncRNA (ENSMODG00000036898.1)". The record is from RNAcentral. Lineage: Eukaryota; Metazoa; Chordata; Mammalia; Didelphimorphia; Didelphidae.
UAGAUUUGGAGGAGUAGUGUCUGAGACUGAACCCUGAUUUUGCAACUUGCUGCACAUAUGACCAUGGAAUGCACUAAAUAUCAGCCUAAGGUAUUCCAGAUGCUCAUCUACACAUUGGCUAAAAAUAGCCAUGUCAUCAAUAUGGAGAUGGCAAAGGUCCCUUGCCUCCUUAAUAAGCCAUUAAUUCAUCUUUGGAAAGUAGCAGGUGAAUUCCUCAGCCCAACGGUCCUUCCUCCAUGCAGCAAUCCAAAUCCAAAAAAAGAG